GAUGAACGCUGGCGGCGUGCUUAACACAUGCAAGUCGAACGGAAAGGCCCAAGCUUGCUUGGGUACUCGAGUGGCGAACGGGUGAGUAACACGUGGGUGAUCUGCCCUGCACUUCGGGAUAAGCCUGGGAAACUGGGUCUAAUACCGGAUAGGACCACAUUUUGGAUGGUGUGGUGGAAAGUUUUUCGGUGUGGGAUGAGCUCGCGGCCUAUCAGCUUGUUGGUGGGGUAAUGGCCUACCAAGGCGUCGACGGGUAGCCGGCCUGAGAGGGUGUACGGCCACAUUGGGACUGAGAUACGGCCCAGACUCCUACGGGAGGCAGCAGUGGGGAAUAUUGCACAAUGGGCGCAAGCCUGAUGCAGCGACGCCGCGUGGGGGAUGACGGCCUUCGGGUUGUAAACUCCUUCCGCUAGGGACGAAGCGCAAGUGACGGUACCUGGAGAAGAAGCACCGGCUAACUACGUG
Molecule: ribosomal RNA, 465 nt
Filed under: uncultured bacterium
Lineage: Bacteria
Description: partial 16S ribosomal RNA
Rfam family: Bacterial small subunit ribosomal RNA
Source: RNAcentral